CUUAUUGAGAUGGAAGACGGCAUUCUGGUGUUGCAAGAGCGUUCUGAGCUGUGAAUCACAGAGAGAGAUUUAACUUCUGUUUCACUCCUGACAAAAGCUUUACUGGAUUUCAGCUAUGUGAAAUGGUACCUUGAUCAAGAGCUCCAAGCAAGGCACUGGAAUGCGGGCAGGUAGAGCAACGAUGCUGAAAAUGAGCCACUUUGCACCAGAGCAGAUGGGUGGAGCUUGGGUGACUAAUUCUACUUCUGCACAAUAAACUGCCUUUUCUGUUCAGCUCCCUACGUGCUUUCUUUGACUAUUCUGAACUGAACCAGGUACUCAUUCCUAAUCUCCUACUGAUGUAACUGGGAAUCCCAGUGUAGCGAUGACUUGAGAAUUGAAUCCUCUGGGCUGGGUCCAGCCUCCAUUAGAGCACACUGGCUACUAGAAUUGUAUCCCAGAAUAUUUUAAAGAAUUUUCGGAAAUGUUCUGUUAAAAAGUAGUUUUUUAAAAAAGAAAAAUACCUAAAAGGAUCUCAGACAUGCCAGAGAUGUUACCAGUGGUUGUCAUACAGAACUUUAAAAUAACAAAAUGUUUUCUUCAGCAAGAAGCCAUAGUUAAAAAUUAGCUUUGAGGAACAGAGAAUGAUUAAUGAAACUCCUCUUACUUAGAGCACUAAGCCUUCUUGAGGUUUAAAUGUCUGCUAUAGAAAAUGUCCACAAUUUGGAGUGAAUUAUUUAUAGAAGAAAUUAGGCAAUAUACAGGGCUUGUGGUUUCUGUUCAGAGCAGAAGAUAAAAAGCUUCUAGGUUUUAAAAUUAUUAUUAUUUUAUUUCUAAGCAUUUCUCUUACUGAAUUCUUGACAUAUGUACUGCUAAUUAAGCAGUAAUGAUUUUCUUUCAUUUGCACUGCAAAUUAUGCCAAUACUUACGCUUUUCUUCACAGAAUGUAUUUUGUUAACUGACCUAGGGUUUAGUGUGGAAUACAAAAUGAGAAAGAAUUGUUAAGUUCCAGUCGAUGCUUUGAGAUUCCUCAGGAGUUCUGCUGUUGCUAAGUUUUGAAUUUUAAUUUUGGAGACACCGACAAAGAUAUACAACAAAAA
This is a long non-coding RNA of Pezoporus occidentalis (night parrot), 1079 nucleotides long. RefSeq lists it as uncharacterized. The transcript is spliced from 2 exons. Lineage: Eukaryota; Metazoa; Chordata; Aves; Psittaciformes; Psittacidae. The record is from RefSeq and is a predicted model, not a curated record.